Molecule: long non-coding RNA, 260 nt
Organism: Lampris incognitus (smalleye Pacific opah)
Lineage: Eukaryota; Metazoa; Chordata; Actinopteri; Lampriformes; Lampridae
Exons: 3
Source: RefSeq, a predicted model, not a curated record
GGCAAACGUUCACCAGCAAUGGCCCCUUGAACAAUGGAGAAGGUCCUCUUCAGCCCACAAAAUAAAAUAAGGUUGAGCAGUGAGAUAAGAAAAGCACGUCUGUGUUGUCGAUUCCCACGGACCAUGGUGAAGAGAUGAGAGCAUAGAGCCAAGGUUGUCUCAUCUUGACGGUAACCUCGGAUGACUGUAUCUUUGGAUCCAGUGAUGGCCUGCUGCACCUGAUCUUCUUGCUUUGAGGUGUUCUUCCCUGAAGAAACAAG